ACAUGUCCUGUAGUGGGGGAUAGCCCGGCGAAAGCCGGAUUAAUACCGCAUACGAUCUAUGGAUGAAAGCGGGGGACCUUCGGGCCUCGCGCUAUAGGGUUGGCCGAUGGCUGAUUAGCUAGUUGGUGGGGUAAAGGCCUACCAAGGCGACGAUCAGUAGCUGGUCUGAGAGGACGAUCAGCCACACUGGGACUGAGACACGGCCCAGACUCCUACGGGAGGCAGCAGUGGGGAAUUUUGGACAAUGGGGGCAACCCUGAUCCAGCAAUGCCGCGUGUGUGAAGAAGGCCUUCGGGUUGUAAAGCACUUUUGUCCGGAAAGAAAUCGCGCUGGUUAAUACCUGGCGUGGAUGACGGUACCGG
This 362-nucleotide ribosomal RNA is filed under the name uncultured bacterium. RNAcentral's name for it is "bacterial SSU rRNA". It matches the Rfam family "Bacterial small subunit ribosomal RNA", at positions 124 to 481 of the family's 1533-position model. The record is from RNAcentral.